RNAcentral lists this ribosomal RNA (1380 nucleotides) under Candidatus Phytoplasma citri. RNAcentral's name for it is "bacterial SSU rRNA". It matches the Rfam family "Bacterial small subunit ribosomal RNA". The record is from RNAcentral. Lineage: Bacteria; Bacillati; Mycoplasmatota; Mollicutes; Acholeplasmatales; Acholeplasmataceae.
AGUUUGAUCCUGGCUCAGGAUUAACGCUGGCGGCGUGCCUAAUACAUGCAAGUCGAACGGAAACCUUCGGGUUUUAGUGGCGAACGGGUGAGUAACACGUAAGCAACCUACCCUAAAGACGAGGGUAAACCAUUGGAAACAGUGGCUAAGACUGGAUAGGAAGAUAAAAGGCAUCUUUUAUCUUUUAAAAGACCUAGUAAUAGGUAUGCUUUAGGAGGGGCUUGCGCCAUAUUAGUUAGUUGGUAGGGUAAUGGCCUACCAAGACGAUGAUGUGUAGCUGGACUGAGAGGUUGAACAGCCACAUUGGGACUGAGACACGGCCCAAACUCCUACGGGAGGCAGCAGUAGGGAAUUUUCGGCAAUGGAGGAAACUCUGACCGAGCAACGCCGCGUGAAUGACGAAGUACUUCGGUAUGUAAAGUUCUUUUAUCAAGGAAGAAAAGCAAAUGGCGAACCAUUUGUUUGCCGGUACUUGAUGAAUAAGCCCCGGCUAAUUAUGUGCCAGCAGCCGCGGUAAGACAUAAGGGGCAAGUGUUAUCCGGAAUUAUUGGGCGUAAAGGGUGCGUAGGCGGUCUAGUAAGUCAGUGGUGUAAUGGCAACGCUUAACGUUGUCCGGCUAUUGAAACUGCUAAACUUGAGUUAGAUAGAGGCGAGUGGAAUUCCAUGUGUAGCGGUAAAAUGCGUAAAUAUAUGGAGGAACACCAGAGGCGUAGGCGGCUCGCUGGGUCUUAACUGACGCUGAGGCACGAAAGCGUGGGGAGCAAACAGGAUUAGAUACCCUGGUAGUCCACGCCGUAAACGAUGAGUACUAAGUGUCGGGUUAAACCGGUACUGAAGUUAACACAUUAAGUACUCCGCCUGAGUAGUACGUACGCAAGUAUGAAACUUAAAGGAAUUGACGGGACUCCGCACAAGCGGUGGAUCAUGUUGUUUAAUGGCGAAGAUACCCGAAAAACCUUACCAGGUCUUGACAUGUUUUUGCAAAAUGAUAGUAAUAUCGUGGAGGUUACCAGAAACACAGGUGGUGCAUGGUUGUCGUCAGCUCGUGUCGUGAGAUGUUAGGUUAAGUCCUAAAACGAGCGAAACCCUUAUCGUUAGUUGCCGCACGUUAUGGUGGGGACUUUAACGAGACUGCCAAUGAUAAAUUGGAGGAAGGUGAGGAUCACGUCAAAUCAGCAUGCCCCUUAUGACCUGGGCUACAAACGUGAUACAAUGGCUGUUACAAAGGGUAGCUGAAACGCAAGUUCUUGGCCAAUCCCCAAAAACAGUCCCAGUCCGGAUUGAAGUCUGCAACUCGACUUCAUGAAGUUGGAAUCGCUAGUAAUCGCGAAUCAGCAUGUCGCGGUGAAUACGUUCACGGGGUUUGUACACACCGCCCGU